UGGGGAAUCUUGCACAAUGGGGGAAACCCUGAUGCAGCGACGCCGCGUGAGCGAUGAAGGUUUUCGAAUCGUAAAGCUCUGUCCUAUGGGAAGAUAAUGACGGUACCAUAGGAGGAAGCCCCGGCUAACUACGUGCCAGCAGCCUCGGUAAUACGUAGGGGGCGAGCGUUGUCCGGAAUUACUGGGCGUAAAGGGUUCGCAGGCGGCAUGACAAGUCCGAUGUAAAAGGCGAAAGCUCAACUUUCGUAAGCAUCGGAAACUGUCAAGCAUGAGUGAAGGAGAGGCAAGUGGAAUUCCUAGUGUAGCGGUGGAAUGCGUAGAUAUUAGGAGGAAUACCGGUGGCGAAGGCGACUUGCUGGACUUCAACUGACGCUGAGGAACGAAAGCGUGGGUAGCAAACAGG
This 403-nucleotide ribosomal RNA is filed under the name bacterium. Its description in RNAcentral is "partial 16S ribosomal RNA". It matches the Rfam family "Bacterial small subunit ribosomal RNA", at positions 355 to 776 of the family's 1533-position model. The record is from RNAcentral.